Molecule: non-coding RNA, 94 nt
Organism: Hypoxylon trugodes
Lineage: Eukaryota; Fungi; Ascomycota; Sordariomycetes; Xylariales; Hypoxylaceae
Source: the annotation of a RefSeq genome assembly
GCAUCUAUGGGGUAGUAGUUAACCCGUUCCUCUCACAUCUACUUAAGACGCGAUGGUACUGGAAAGGUCCCGGGUGCAAAUCCCGGUGGAUGCA